GUAGUGUAUGUGAAAUAUACAGUUGCUCCCGUCCUUGGCUCUCUAUCCUCUCGUUUCCAUUCCUCCCAGGAAGAUGAAUAGUUAAUAUAAAAGAAAAAGGUGCAAAAAGCUGUGCUCCUCUCCAUUCUCUUCUCAGAUCGAUCCAAACCCAUAUCCUAUCCCUUUCUUUCUCUAUAAAAAAGAAGAAGAAAAAGCGGAAAAAAUGCAACAAGGAGGAGAUUUCAGCGCCUCCUAUUCUUACCCUCACCACCAAAACCCUAACCCUAACCCUAACCCUAACCUUAACGAUCUCAUCCCUCCAACCUUCGCCUCCGCCCCCCCUUUCUCCCAUUACCCUUCGUCCUCUGAUCCCUAUUCCUCCCCAUACCCUUCCUUUUCUCAAAAUCCCGAUCCUGUUCCUAAUCUCCCACCAACAGCUCCUUCCUACUCCCAACAACCCCCUCUCAACUCCCAACCAACCUACCCUCCUUUCCCUCCCGCCACCGCCACGUCAGACUACCCUCCACAUCUCCAGCAAACCCCUCCUCCCACUGCCACAUCGGACUAUCCUCCACAUCUCCAGCAACCCCCUCCCGCCCCAUAUUACCUGUAUGAUCACCAUCCAACGGCUGUGAAUUAUCCCCCGGCCAAUUCGUCAUUCUCUGUUCCCUACAGCCCUCCGUCCUACCCCCCGCCACCUGUCUACGAGAACCAUCCCUACGAUACUAGUGCUUCGCUCAAAUUUGACCGAUCUGGAAGCAGCUACCUUGAAGAGAAUUCUGCUAGCUAUGGCUACGGCCGGACCAACUCCUUUCCGACUGGGCCGCACAAUGAUGGUUUGGAUGAGGGGGUUUAUGCUUAUGAUGGGGGCCGGGCCGAGCCUUACGGUGCACGGGGCACGGGUGCACCCAGGUCUUCUUCUUCGUCGUGGUCGGCAUUUGAUGAUUAUGGGCGGUCGACAAGCCUUGGAAAGGAGCAGCAGGUGGGGUCUGGGAAGAUCGUGAGGGCGGUGCCGAAAGCAGAGACGCAGCAAGACGUGAAGAAUGGGGUGCAGAAGUUCCGGGUCAAGCUGUUGCCGGAAAGCUCGGGGCAGAGCACCAUGGACGUUCUUUGCCAGAUUGGACUGGACGGAAUUCGUAUGCUUGACCCAAGUACUAGUAGAACAUUGAGAAUAUACCCACUUGAGACUGUGACAAGAUGGGAAGUAAAUGAUUCGUCCAUCUAUACUUUUUGGGCUAAAAGCUCUGUUGACUUCGAGCCAAGGCGCAUAAGGUUGCAAUCAAACAGCUAUACUACCAACACCAUUCUUGAUGCUGUUACUGCUGCGACUGUCCAGCUUAAGGAGAUGGGUGGCAGUAGAAGCAGGGUAACUCCUGAUGCUAGCAAACAAUCUGAACAGCCAACAGAAAAGAAGAAAGGUUUAGCUGAUUGGAUGAACUUGAUAAAGCCUGGUAACGAGGAGAAAGAUCACUGGGUUCCAGAUGAAGCAGUUUCCAAAUGUACAGCAUGUGGAACAGAUUUUGGAGCUUUUGUGCGUAAGCAUCACUGCAGGAAUUGCGGGGAUAUUUUCUGUGACAAGUGUACCCAUGGUAGAAUUGCUCUCACUGCAGAUGAGCAAGCUCAGUCCGUCCGAGUUUGUGACCGAUGUUUGGCAGAAGUUUCGCAAAGGUUGAGUAAUGCGAAGGAAACAAGCAAUAAAUCUGCCGCACAACACAGUCAUGAGGAUCUUGCAAGGAAGCUUCAGGAGGAGAUGGACAGAAAUCGCAAGGUGUCUUCAGGUUCGAAGUCAGAUGGGUCUGGGAGGCGGAUGAAAGAAGUUGCCUGCCCCAUUUGCACAGUCCAUUUGCAGGUUCAAGUCCCAACUUCUGGCUCCGAAACGAUAGAGUGUGGUGUAUGUCAGCAUCCCUUCCUCGUUAGCGCCCACUGAAUUACUGCUAGAAGAUCUAAAUAUUGUAGCCCACCUGAUGUAAAGCUUAGAUCUUAGGUCUUGAAAACAGGCUAUUUCAAUUCUUAGGUGGGCCACAAGGCCAGAAGAUCUAAAUACUGAUGCAAAGUUUCUCGCGCACGUGUCUGCUUGUGGAUGUAUACAUAACCCACGGGAGUAGCAUUAUUCACUCUGUUCACCGGUGCAUGGACAGCUACUUGGGGUCCACCAGGUAUGAGUUUAUUCACGCUGUCCACCUACAUGUGGACCGGGCCAUGGGUCAACUAGAUGUUUAUGUUUUAUCCUCGCUGUCCAACUGGUGGAUUGGGCAGUGGGCCCACCUGGUGUAUGUGUUGUCCAACAGCAUAGAUCCCCACACUGGGGGGCCCACCUGAUGCAUGGUUCUACCCUCACUGCCAUUCCGUGGACGCAUCCAUGAUGUGUAUAUGUUAUACACGCUGCCACCGGGAGGCUAGGGCCCCACUGUGAUGUAUGUGUCUUAUAAGCACAGUUCAUUUUUUU
This is an RNA transcript of Magnolia sinica, 2425 nucleotides long. It is a transcript of the gene named protein FREE1-like, with no coding region annotated. The record is from RefSeq and is a predicted model, not a curated record. Lineage: Eukaryota; Viridiplantae; Streptophyta; Magnoliopsida; Magnoliales; Magnoliaceae. The transcript has 12 exons.